CCCACCUGCCUCCACUCCUCCGGUGUGGGUUGCGGCUGCUCCUCGGCAUCUGAGUCCACUUCCGACUCCGAGGACGAGGGCUCCUCCUUCUCCUUGAUCGCCGGGAAGCCCGCUUGCUGCCGGCACCUCUCCAGCUCCAGAUGCAAACACAAAGGGGAGGAAAUGCAGCCUUGACUGAGGAUGGCUGGAAUGGGAAAAACCUGACACCUGCUAUGACUGGCCACUCAAAGGAAGUGCCUGCUGAGGAAGGGCCCGUGAGGGCACGGGAGUGCCUUAUUUCAACCUGGACCUAAUCGGGAAGAUGCUCUUCUUGCCAAAGGGACCAGGUGUGGUUUCUCUCCCUGCCUCAGAGUCAUCGUGGUACUGGGACCAAGCUGACAAUGUAGAGAACACAAGCAGGAGGAAUUCUGAUCCUGAGCAAGAGUUGGUUCAGGCCACAGCGCAGACCUGGGGCAUCCAGCCAAAGGCAAGAGCAGCCAUUCCCAGCAUGCCCGAGUGCCGCAGCAUCCACAGGGAUAUCAAGAGAAACGUCUGGUUCACAAA
Long non-coding RNA from Bubalus bubalis (water buffalo), 543 nucleotides. RefSeq lists it as uncharacterized. Lineage: Eukaryota; Metazoa; Chordata; Mammalia; Artiodactyla; Bovidae. The transcript is spliced from 2 exons. The record is from RefSeq and is a predicted model, not a curated record.